AGAGUUUGAUCCUGGCUCAGAACGAACGCUGGCGGCAGGCCUAACACAUGCAAGUCGAACGCACCGCAAGGUGAGUGGCAGACGGGUGAGUAAUACGUGGGAACAUACCCUUUGGUUCGGAAUAGCUCAGGGAAACUUGGAUUAAUACCGGAUAAGUCCGUAAGGAGAAAGAUUUAUCGCCGAAGGAUUGGCCCACGUCU
RNAcentral lists this ribosomal RNA (200 nucleotides) under uncultured bacterium. Its description in RNAcentral is "partial 16S ribosomal RNA". It matches the Rfam family "Bacterial small subunit ribosomal RNA", at positions 8 to 238 of the family's 1533-position model. The record is from RNAcentral.